This 1493-nucleotide long non-coding RNA is filed under the name Capra hircus (goat). RNAcentral describes it as "lncRNA (ENSCHIG00000002633.1)". Lineage: Eukaryota; Metazoa; Chordata; Mammalia; Artiodactyla; Bovidae. The record is from RNAcentral.
GGUAUCAGGGCUUAACUUAGAUGAUAAACACGAGUCAACCAUCACAAGUCACUCAUCUACUCUCCUCUUUGUGAUCAUCCUGUGUAGGCGAUUCUAAAUUUAUCGCAAGAUCAGGAUUAAGCAGACGAAAGAAAAAAAAAAAAAAAAGAAACGGUCUUGGCAACAUCACUACUCUGGCUGCUUGUGAAAGCAACAAGUGACUUCAUCCAACAUUCACCUGCGCAAGGCAGUUCCGAAGUGGGAACACUCACCUGCCCAUGGCAGUUGCGAGGAGACCCGAGGCUCUGCUGGGGAAAUCCCUUGGUCUGCCAAAGCUUUUUUCUUUCCGCAUGAAAGAUCAGUCGGCUCCUAGGGGCAAGUGUGGAAUUACAGAAGGUGUCGAGGACUAAGCACAAGCCGGCUGCUAAUGGCUGCUUUCCAACAAUGCUGUAAAACUUCUCCUUGAGUCCCGGCUCUUUUUUCAGACGUCCCAUAGCAGUUCAGUUGGAGAACUCCAGAAAUGGGAGCCUCUGUUUCCGGUCCUGAGCGCUCACAGGCCACCUGGGAGCCUCCUACCGGCCUGGACAGGCCAGCCUCUCCCUCGAAGUCUCCAGAAGGAUCAGUUUCAGAAGGCUGCAGGUGUGUGCAGAGUUUGUUGCUGGGAUGGAGCGCUGGUGGGAAGACAGCCCGCGGGUGUUAACCUCCAUCAAGGUCAAGCUAUCCAGCCUGGCUUGUGCUGCCCGGAGUUUGCUACGUGAAUGUCCCGGAUCUCAUGUGCCAUCUGCAUGGUGUCUGCAUGCUACUUUAGCAGGGGUUUGCUUUUCUGCGUCCGUCCACUCGACUUUUCGUGAUUACGAGUGAUUGUCAGCCAGAGAGGCACCUGCUCUGGUGAGCCACUGCAGAAAGGCCCCAGACCUCCCCCCAUGCGGUAGCUCUGGGCCAGACUUAAAUUCAGGAUCCUGAGGACCAUCUCCUUCCGGGCGCCGCUUCCCGCCCCUCUGCUUCCAAGAAAAGGUACUGCGACCCCGCUUUCACUCCACUGCGCAGGGCCAGCCCCUGAACUAUUUUUAGUUAUUUUACCCUUGAAACUAAAAGCUGAUACUUUAAAAAAGAAAUCGAUAAAAUACAUUUAACGUUGGCAAAUCUGAUCUGGUGAAACAUGGAAUAAAUCCUUUUAAAAUUAGAAACUGGAAUGGUUUUAUUUAUCAAUAUUGACGUGAUUAAAGCACUAUCUAAAAAUAAUGGAUAAACUGUGUGGAAAGUGGAAAAAUCCAGAAAAAAUAGGUAUUUCCCUAGAAAUUGUAGGCAGGAAGUUGAAACGAUAAUGUACAUAAACAAUAAAAUAAUAAGAGAAGAUAAUUCAAUUAUUUUUUUAACAUAAUAAUAAAAUUUCUUCAUUAAAAACCACAAAACACAAAAGCCUUAAAAAUGACUGGCAGUUUUUUGAUAUAAACUUUAAAACUUCUAUUAAAAAUAUCUCAAAAAUUAAAAAAAGGAAAAAAUGUUGGCCCCAC